This 464-nucleotide ribosomal RNA is filed under the name Vreelandella stevensii. Its description in RNAcentral is "partial 16S ribosomal RNA". It matches the Rfam family "Bacterial small subunit ribosomal RNA", at positions 338 to 795 of the family's 1533-position model. Lineage: Bacteria; Pseudomonadati; Pseudomonadota; Gammaproteobacteria; Oceanospirillales; Halomonadaceae. The record is from RNAcentral.
CCUACGGGCGGCUGCAGUGGGGAAUAUUGGACAAUGGGCGAAAGCCUGAUCCAGCCAUGCCGCGUGUGUGAAGAAGGCCUUCGGGUUGUAAAGCACUUUCAGUGGGGAAGAAAGCCUUGGGGCUAAUACCCUCGAGGAAGGACAUCACCCACAGAAGAAGCACCGGCUAACUCCGUGCCAGCAGCCGCGGUAAUACGGAGGGUGCGAGCGUUAAUCGGAAUUACUGGGCGUAAAGCGCGCGUAGGCGGUCUGAUAAGCCGGUUGUGAAAGCCCCGGGCUCAACCUGGGAACGGCAUCCGGAACUGUCAGGCUAGAGUGCAGGAGAGGAAGGUAGAAUUCCCGGUGUAGCGGUGAAAUGCGUAGAGAUCGGGAGGAAUACCAGUGGCGAAGGCGGCCUUCUGGACUGACACUGACGCUGAGGUGCGAAAGCGUGGGUAGCAAACAGGAUUAGAUCCCUGGUAGUC